CCUCCUUAAAAAGACAACGUUUAGUGCAGGCGUUCACACAUAUUACUUAUUUACCUAGAUCUCUUUAAAAUGAGAUGGCAAGGUGAGUUCUUUAACAUUUUUAUAAGUUCAAUCAAGUCACAUCAUAGUGUCUUAAUUUUUUUAAUUUAGAUAUGAAUGAUGUGCAAAUGUCACCAAACCCGUCAUGUUUUAGGACAUAAGUUUGGUGUACAUACUGCAAAGUAAUUUUGGCGAAUGACAAUAGAUACUUGAAGAACAUUAAUCAUUAAGUUGUUUGAUGUAAUAUGGUCAAGUAAAUAAGCGCAUACGGUGGAUGCCUUGGCAGCUAGAGGCGAUGAAGGACGUAAUAACUUGCGAUAAGCUUCGGGGAGCCGGUAAACAGGCUUUGAUCCGAAAAUUCCGAAUGGA
This 408-nucleotide unclassified non-coding RNA is filed under the name uncultured marine bacterium 311. RNAcentral's name for it is "partial 16S-23S ribosomal RNA intergenic spacer". The stretch from base 287 to 408 matches the Rfam family "Bacterial large subunit ribosomal RNA", at positions 1 to 122 of the family's 2925-position model. The record is from RNAcentral.